UUAUCACGGUCCGUAGGAACUGCGGAAGGAUCAUUAAAGAGUAAGGGUGCUCAGCGCCCGACCUCCAACCCUCUGUUGUUAAAACUACCUUGUUGCUUUGGCGGGACCGCUCGGUCUCGAGCCGCUGGGGAUUCGUCCCAGGCGAGCGCCCGCCAGAGUUAAACCAAACUCUUGUUAUAUAAACCGGUCGUCUGAGUUAAAAUUUUGAAUAAAUCAAAACUUUCAACAACGGAUCUCUUGGUUCUCGCAUCGAUGAAGAACGCAGCGAAAUGCGAUAAGUAAUGUGAAUUGCAGAAUUCAGUGAAUCAUCGAAUCUUUGAACGCACAUUGCGCCCCUUGGUAUUCCGAGGGGCAUGCCUGUUCGAGCGUCAUUACACCACUCAAGCUAUGCUUGGUAUUGGGCGUCCGUCCCUUCGGGGGCGCGCCUUAAAGACCUCGGCGAGGCCUCACCGGCUUUAGGCGUAGUAGAAUUUAUUCGAACGUCUGUCAAUGGAGAGGACUUCUGCCGACUGAAACCUUUUAUAUUUUUCUAGGUUGACCUCGGAUCAGGUAGGGAUACCCGCUGAACUUAAGCAUAUCAAUAACCGGGAGGAAAGGACUCCCGCUGAACUUACGGAGGAAA
This 622-nucleotide ribosomal RNA is filed under the name fungal endophyte. Its description in RNAcentral is "eukaryotic LSU rRNA". The stretch from base 218 to 371 matches the Rfam family "5.8S ribosomal RNA". Lineage: Eukaryota; Fungi. The record is from RNAcentral.